Molecule: ribosomal RNA, 571 nt
Filed under: uncultured prokaryote
Description: bacterial SSU rRNA
Rfam family: Archaeal small subunit ribosomal RNA
Source: RNAcentral
GCUCAGUAACACGUGGCCAAACUACCCUAUAGACCCAGACAACCUCGGGAAACUGAGGCUAAUCUGAGAUACGAUUCUCUCGCUGGAACUGCAGAGAAUCCGAAACGCUUCGGCGCUGUAGGAUGUGGCUGCGGCCGAUUAGGUAGACGGUGGGGUAACGGCCCACCGUGCCAAUAAUCGGUACGGGUUGUGAGAGCAAGAGCCCGGAGACGGUAUCUGAGACAAGAUACCGGGCCCUACGGGGCGCAGCAGGCGCGAAACCUUUACACUGCACGCCAGUGCGAUAAGGGGACUCCGAGUGCGAGGGCAUAUAGUCCUCGCUUUUCACCACCGUAAGGAGGUGGUAGAAUAAGUGCUGGGCAAGGCCGGUGCCAGCCGCCGCGGUAAUACCGGCAGCACGAGUGAUGACCGCUAUUAUUGGGCCUAAAGCGUCCGUAGCUGGCCGUGCAAGUCCAUCGGGAAAUCUGCUCGCCUAACGAGCAGGCGUCCGGUGGAACCUGCAUGGCUUGGGACCGGAAGACCAGAGGGGUACGUCCGGGGUAGGAGUGAAAUCCCGUAAUCCUGGACGGAC